GGUUUCUUGGGCGUCUUUUCUUUUUCCAGGUUGUGUUCUUUGAGCACAUGCACACUCUCUCUCUCCCCCCAACAGAUCAGCUGCAAGCAGUAUGGCAAAGGCAAAACGAGAGAAGCCUGGUGUGUGUGGCGGGGAGACCAGUGUGCUAUUCUGGGUUAUGUUUAAGAAAUGAGAUUAAUUCGGGACUUUGUUAUUAGAGUUGUCAGAAGGCAUUUGUCAAGGCAUCAUGAUAGGGGCUUUCCCUUCCAGCCGGGUUUCUGUGUACAGCAUACCAGCUCCAUAUGACUCUGAGCAGACUGCAAGGCAGGAAAGUCCGUGUACUCGCUACUGCCCAUCCUACCUAGAAGGCUUGUAUCAGAAGUACUGUUUUUUCAACUGGAUAAGGCUGUGUUCCUGGAAGAGAUGGCUUCUAGGAAUAUUACCUAUAAGUUCUUUAAUAGUGACGGUAAUCGUGCUAGUCCUGCACUAUUCCUUCUGUAAGUGUAACUCCCCAGUAUAGUCUGGAUGGGAUGUUUUUUCUUGCACUGUGUGAAUGAUUAGUAUGAAAAGUUCUGCACUAAGCAGCUAAGCAUGUACCGUGUGUAUAAACUACUGACUUUGCCUUCUCCUUAAUGUCCUUGCUAAAGCAAUAAAAUGCAUAAUAACUAGCAGUUGGUAGUUGCACAAGAAUAAUGAAGGUAUUUAUUUUAUGUCUAAAUUUUUUAUCUCUGCUUGUGAAUAACCAUCAUUAUUAUAACUGUCAUCUUUCCUAAGAACCUACAGGAAUUAACUGUCUACCUUCUAUUCACUUCCCCAAAAGAGGAUGGCUACUUAACUUAUGUACGUUCCUUCCCAGAUCUCAACAAAUAGCCAUUAUAACAGUAUCUCUUUAGGAGGGUAGUGCUGCAAAAAAAUGGAAGUUUAACCACUAAGCUUCCUAGUAAAAAUGAUUGUUUGAACCUGUACCUCAUUCCUCUCCCUUCCUUCUGGGCAUUAUUUUGUUAAUGGGACUGACACAGCAUUCUGGCUGUUACUGCAUAUUUCUCGUAGGAACUAAUAUUUACAGAUGGCAAGGACAAAUACAUGCUUCUACAAACUUCUUGUUCCAGAAGCUUUUCUGUAAUGUUUUCAGGUGUGCUAAUUUUUUUUAUCCUUUUUUGUCAGCUCCAGCUUUUUCUUUUAUUUAUAUUGGUGGAAGUGUAGAAAUUCCAAAUCUGACUUAUACAAAUGAUCUCAAUGAUCCAAAGUCACAGAAGUUCCUCCUGCAAGCAGAAGCAAUCCAAAAUUAUUUUGCAGAAACAUAUGAGUCUUCCUCCUUGGGAAAGUACUACUGGAAGUCUGUAGUGGUUGCUUUCAGGUAGGUACCAUUCUAGAAUAUGGUAUAUGUUUGAGGUAUUGUUGUGUUUGUCUUAUCUUUUUUUCAUGCAUUUAAAAUUAGUUAUCUGGGAAAUUAUGCACAUCUCUAUAAUAGAGAAUGAAAACUGCAGAAAUUAAGUAUUUGAGCUAAGAGCUAAGCUAGUAGUGUGAUUUCUGUCUCGCCCUGUAGAAUUGGGGAGAAAAAUUAAGUCUGAUUAAUUGUGCCUUGGUUUAGAGAUUGCUUUUUAAUAUAUUCAUCUACUUUUAACUUUUGAAAUCACAGUUCAGCAGGAUUUUUCUCUAACAUUUGCAGAAUCUUAUUUUGGUUUUGUCUGUUUAAAUGAAGUUCCUUUUUAACUCCUCGAGACAAAACUUAAUGGUAUAAUUUUGGGUAGAGCACUUUAAGAUUUCUCACCAGGAGCUUAAGUAAAGUAGUAAUACACUGUAAAUACAUUGAGCAGAUGGCUAGCACUAUCCCGACAGGCUUUGAAAACAUCUGGGAGGUCAGCCCAUAGGUCUUUUUGGAAGGAAGGGUGUGAUUAGCUGUCUCUUUGAAUCACUUAAAUAAUACUUUGUAUAUGCGCACAUACACAUUAUUUAUUUUAACAAGAAUUGUGUGAAAUGUUGUAUCAAUGUACAGGCCUAAAAUGAUAUUGUCAUAUGGUGUGAGACUCAAUUAAAAAUGUUAAGGAAAAUGUGUCUAGAACUGUGAUGUUGCCUUAAAAGUGUAUAAUUAUGUAGCAGGGAUGGACACAUCCAAUUCCAUAAAAAGGAUAGCAAGGAUUUUCUGUGAAGUGCAAUUUUCAACCUCAACGUGUUACUGUUUAAGCAGCAUAUUUUUAAAAUAUUUCUACUGUACGGAUAAACAAUUGUUAAACAAGAGAGCUUUUUGCCACU
This 2232-nucleotide long non-coding RNA is filed under the name Calidris pugnax (ruff). RNAcentral describes it as "lncRNA (ENSCPUG00000004212.1)". The record is from RNAcentral. Lineage: Eukaryota; Metazoa; Chordata; Aves; Charadriiformes; Scolopacidae.